Molecule: non-coding RNA, 1340 nt
Organism: Oncorhynchus mykiss (rainbow trout)
Lineage: Eukaryota; Metazoa; Chordata; Actinopteri; Salmoniformes; Salmonidae
Source: RefSeq, a predicted model, not a curated record
CAGUCGGGAGUUGACCUGAGAUACUGCUGCUGUUGACUUCCUGUGGUGUGUCUGUUGACUUCCUGUGGUGUGUCUGUUGACUUCAUGUGGUGUGUCUGUUGACUUCCUGUGGUGUGUCUGUUGCGUCCCAAAUAGCACCCUAUUCCCUAUAUAGUGCACUACUAUUGAUGAGAGCCCUGAUCGAAAGUAUUGCACUAUAUAUGGAAUAGGAUUCCAUUUGGGUUGCAGGGAGUCUCAGGGCAAAGUCAGGAGUAGGUAACCAUGGUGACUGGUACACUACAGAUCACAGGCUGAGAGUCUCAGGAGUAGGUAGCCAUGGUGACUGGUACACUACAGAUCACAGGCUGAGAGUCUCAGGAGUAGGUAGCCAUGGUGACUGGUACACUACAGAUCACAGGCUGAGAGUCUCAGGAGUAGGUAACCAUGGUGACUGGGUACACUACAGAGCACAGGCUGAGAGUCUCAGGAGUAGGUAGCCAUGGUGACUGGUACACUACAGAUCACAGGCUGAGAGUCUCAGGAGUAGGUAACCAUGGUGACUGGUACACUACAGAUCACAGGCUGAGAGUCUCAGGAGUAGGUAACCAUGGUGACUGGUACACUACAGAUCACAGGCUGAGAGUCUCAGGAGUAGGUAACCAUGGUGACUGGUACACUACAGAUCACAGGCUGAGAGUCUCAGGAGUAGGUAACCAUGGUGACUGGGUACACUACAGAUCACAGGCUGAGAGUCUCAGGAGUAGGUAACCAUGGUGACUGGUACACUACAGAUCACAGGCUGAGAGUCUCAGGAGUAGGUAGCCAUGGUGACUGGGUACACUACAGAUCACAGGCUGAGAGUCUCAGGAGUAGGUAACCAUGGUGACUGGUACACUACAGAUCACAGGCUGAGAGUCUCAGGAGUAGGUAGCCAUGGUGACUGGUACACUACAGAUCACAGGCUGAGAGUCUCAGGAGUAGGUAACCAUGGUGACUGGUACACUACAGAUCACAGGCUGAGAGUCUCAGGAGUAGGUAACCAUGGUGACUGGUACACUACAGAUCACAGGCUGAGAGUCUCAGGAGUAGGUAACCAUGGUGACUGGUACACUACAGAUCACAGGCUGAGAGUCUCAGGAGUAGGUAACCAUGGUGACUGGUACACUACAGAUCACAGGCUGAGAGUCUCAGGAGUAGGUAGCCAUGGUGACUGGGUACACUACAGAUCACAGGCUGAGAGUCUCAGGAGUAGGUAACCAUGGUGACUGGUACACUACAGAUCACAGGCUGAGAGUCUCAGGAGUAGGUAACCAUGGUGACUGGUACACUACAGAUCACAGGCUGAGAGUCUCAGGAGUAGG